Non-coding RNA from Rattus norvegicus (Norway rat), 1063 nucleotides. Lineage: Eukaryota; Metazoa; Chordata; Mammalia; Rodentia; Muridae. The record is from RefSeq and is a predicted model, not a curated record.
CACUCAGACAGGAGACUGGACUCAUUAUUUGCAAUGUUUCCAGCAAGACUAGUGAGACCAGAAGCUGACAGUUCGUGGCUUGCUCUGCGGUUGCGAGGCACACGGUCUGCUUCUGGACGCAUGCGCAGGACCGUGGGUUCCUCCCUUCAGACCCUACUCCUCUUCCGGGAUGCCUGUCAAGCACAGGCUGUGCCCAGCCAUGAGAACUCAGUAGCCUCUUCGCCCUCUUCUCUGUCCUCACCGGGCGGGGCUCUCAACUUACUGACAAGACUCUCUAGCUCACGACCUUCGUUCCUUCAUAGCGGGAAUGUGUGACUUCAUCUGGCAAAGAAUCACGGACCCAGACAUGUCAGCGCUUUUAAACUAUCAUUUCAAAGGCCAGGCUGGUUCUCUGAAAAGCCAUCAAAGGCACCUUCUCCUCCUAUAGCAGAUCCUGCCCAGCAGAUGGACAAGAUGCCUAGGACAGACAGCAUUGACUGGGAUGUCAUUGGAAGGGUGAAGACAGCCACGUUCAGUCAGGGAAGUGGCAAACAGAAGCAGAAGACCUAGUGACCCUGGCCCUGAAUUACCGUUAUUUUUGCAGUGAGGGUAAAGUCAAGCUCCCAAGGUCAGGAAGGGAAGCAAAGAAUUGAAAUCAGCCUGUGGAAAGUAGACAUCUGGGAAAAGAAAGGGAGAAACUGAGGCUGAGAAAGGAAUCGUGAACAGAGUUCAGACAGUCCUCUGCGGCACGGGCAGAAUGGAGCAAGAGGCUCCUAAACGGAAGAGAACGGACAGAGGAGUGCCCAAGGCUUCGACUGAAGGAAAGUUCUGGCUAGAAUCUCACGGUUAUUAGGCAGCUAAAUAAACAAACCAGUAGACACCUGUAUCAAAUCAAGGACACUGGCGACCUAACCCAUUCCAGGAAUUCUAAACAGUGAGGGAGCUAUGUAUGCGGCCGGACAAGGAGCUUGUUUCUCCCAGUGCACUAGAGGGUCCCUGUGUCUGUACUGCCUUCUGUCACAGCUCUAACUUUUCUCUUGGCUUUUAUUUUUUUCAUUUUUAAAAUAAUUACAUCUGCAAGCCC